Molecule: long non-coding RNA, 426 nt
Filed under: Homo sapiens (human)
Lineage: Eukaryota; Metazoa; Chordata; Mammalia; Primates; Hominidae
Description: HSALNT0382413
Source: RNAcentral
UGGAAAACUGCAAGCACGGCAGAUGCCAAAACCCCUUUCCUGUGCCUGAAAGAGAACUUCUGGAGAUUUUCCAAAUGCAGACCAAGAGGGAUUGAGCUCUCCUCUACCCUGCCUGGCCCAGAAGUUCCAUUUCCUACCUCCUUCUAGCAGGGGAGCAGGGGCCUUCCUUGGUGGCCCCCAGGAUGGCCCUAUCUCAGAAAGACACAACCACGACUUCUCUGUAUAAUAGACACCACCACACAGGCUUUCUGCCAGCAUUGAGGAGAAACAGGAGCUCUUCUCCAGCCAGGUGAACAUGGCCUCGCUUGGCAAGCUUGCAGUCCUACAUUCCGGUAGGUUACAGGCUGCUUCCAGUAACGCAGGGAAGCUGGGGAAGGAUGAGUUGGGACAUUUUAUUAUGGUGGACUAUCUGAGUGGAAAUGGAUA